Triticum urartu is the source of this 134-nucleotide non-coding RNA. The record is from Rfam. Lineage: Eukaryota; Viridiplantae; Streptophyta; Magnoliopsida; Poales; Poaceae.
AAAGUACUCCAUCCGUUCUGAAUUACUUGUUUUAGAUUUGUCUAGAUAUGAAGGUAUCUAACAUUAAAAUGAGUCUAGAUACAUCCGUAUCUGACAAAUUCAAGACAAAUAAUUCGGAACGAAGGGAGUAAUAC